RNAcentral lists this ribosomal RNA (625 nucleotides) under uncultured Geobacteraceae bacterium. RNAcentral describes it as "bacterial SSU rRNA". The stretch from base 79 to 625 matches the Rfam family "Bacterial small subunit ribosomal RNA", at positions 1 to 526 of the family's 1533-position model. The record is from RNAcentral. Lineage: Bacteria; Pseudomonadati; Thermodesulfobacteriota; Desulfuromonadia; Geobacterales; Geobacteraceae.
CUAAWAAYYYAGGGUGCUUCUCCGGMCCUGUUUUYCCCGCKGGGCCCSSCMGMGGGGGGGAWGRAUAUSUUUKUGGGGGGACCUUAGAGUUUGAUCCUGGCUCAGAACGAACGCUGGCGGCGUGCUUAACACAUGCAAGUCGAACGUGAUCCGGAGCUUGCUCCGGUGAAAGUGGCGCACGGGUGAGUAACGCGUGGAUAAUCUGCCCUGGUAUCUGGGAUAACAUCUCGAAAGGGGUGCUAAUACCGGAUAAGCCUACGGUCUCUUCGGAGUCUGCAGGAAAAGGUGGCCUCUAUUUAUAAGCUACCGUAUCAGGAUGAGUCCGCGUACCAUUAGCUAGUUGGUGGGGUAAUGGCCCACCAAGGCUACGAUGGUUAGCUGGUCUGAGAGGAUGAUCAGCCACACUGGAACUGAGACACGGUCCAGACUCCUACGGGAGGCAGCAGUGGGGAAUUUUGCGCAAUGGGGGAAACCCUGACGCAGCAACGCCGCGUGAGUGAUGAAGGCUUUCGAGUCGUAAAGCUCUGUCAGAGGGGAAGAAAUGAGUCUGGCUAAUAUCCAGAUUUCUUGAUGGUACCCUCAAAGGAAGCACCGGCUAACUCCGUGCCAGCAGCCGCGGUAAUAC